RNAcentral lists this ribosomal RNA (468 nucleotides) under uncultured bacterium. RNAcentral's name for it is "partial 16S ribosomal RNA". It matches the Rfam family "Bacterial small subunit ribosomal RNA", at positions 28 to 507 of the family's 1533-position model. The record is from RNAcentral.
GACGAACGCUGGCGGCGUGCUUAACACAUGCAAGUCGAACGGAAAGGCCCUGCCUUUGUGGGGUGCUCGAGUGGCGAACGGGUGAGUAACACGUGAGUAACCUGCCCUUGACUGUGGGAUAACUUCAGGAAACUGGGGCUCAUACCGGAUAGGAGCUCCUGCUGCAUGGUGGGGGCGGGAAAGUUUCGGCGGUUGGGGAUGGACUCGCGGCUUAUCAGCUUGUUGGUGGGGUAGUGGCUUACCAAGGCUUUGCCGCGUAGCCGGCCUGGGCGGGUGACAGGCCACAUUGGGCCUGGGCUGCGGCCCAGCCUCGUACCCGACGCAGCAGUGGAGUGUAUUGCACAGUGGGCUGGAGCCUGAUCCGGCCACGCCGCGUGCGGGAUGACGGGCUUCCGUUUGUGUUCCGCUUUCGCCUUUGACGGGGCGUUAAUGACGGUACCGGGUGAAUAAGCACCGGCUAACUACGUG